CCUACGGGGGGCUGCAGUGGGGAAUAUUGGACAAUGGGCGAAAGCCUGAUCCAGCCAUGCCGCGUGUGUGAAGAAGGCCUUCGGGUUGUAAAGCACUUUCAGUGGGGAAGAAAGCCUUGGGGCUAAUACCCUCGAGGAAGGACAUCACCCACAGAAGAAGCACCGGCUAACUCCGUGCCAGCAGCCGCGGUAAUACGGAGGGUGCGAGCGUUAAUCGGAAUUACUGGGCGUAAAGCGCGCGUAGGCGGUCUGAUAAGCCGGUUGUGAAAGCCCCGGGCUCAACCUGGGAACGGCAUCCGGAACUGUCAGGCUAGAGUGCAGGAGAGGAAGGUAGAAUUCCCGGUGUAGCGGUGAAAGGCGUAGAGAUCGGGAGGAAUACCAGUGGCGAAGGCGGCCUUCUGGACUGACACUGACGCUGAGGUGCGAAAGCGUGGGUAGCAAACAGGAUUAGAUACCCUAGUAGUC
This 465-nucleotide ribosomal RNA is filed under the name Vreelandella stevensii. RNAcentral describes it as "partial 16S ribosomal RNA". It matches the Rfam family "Bacterial small subunit ribosomal RNA", at positions 338 to 795 of the family's 1533-position model. The record is from RNAcentral. Lineage: Bacteria; Pseudomonadati; Pseudomonadota; Gammaproteobacteria; Oceanospirillales; Halomonadaceae.